GACGUAGGGCGCGAGCGUUGUCCGGAAUUACUGGGCGUAAAGAGCUCGUAGGUGGUUUGUCGCGUUGUCCGUGAAAACUCACAACUCAAUUGUGGGCGUGCGGGCGAUACGGGCAGACUGGAGUACUGCAGGGGAGACUGGAAUUCCUGGUGUAGCGGUGGAAUGCGCAGAUAUCAGGAGGAACACCGGUGGCGAAGGCGGGUCUCUGGGCAGUAACUGACGCUGAGGAGCGAAAGCGUGGGGAGCGAACAGG
This 253-nucleotide ribosomal RNA is filed under the name uncultured bacterium. Its description in RNAcentral is "partial 16S ribosomal RNA". It matches the Rfam family "Bacterial small subunit ribosomal RNA", at positions 524 to 776 of the family's 1533-position model. The record is from RNAcentral.